Drosophila mojavensis is the source of this 345-nucleotide long non-coding RNA. RefSeq lists it as uncharacterized. Lineage: Eukaryota; Metazoa; Arthropoda; Insecta; Diptera; Drosophilidae. The record is from RefSeq and is a predicted model, not a curated record. The transcript is spliced from 2 exons.
CUGCUUCUCGGUUUUGGCAUCACUCGGUGUUGGUGGAGGAGUUUGGGAAUAUGGUAUGUCGCUCGCUGAAAGUAUAAGUCAAUUAGAAAAGUUCUCUUUGGGGCCACAAACAGUUGAAAUUCGAAAUCGAAUAAGUUAUUUUUUGAAAACAAUUUAUAUAGAUAAUAUGUGAAUAUAUUCUGCUUUAUAUUAAACUCAAAAGAAUGCAUAACAAAUCAAAUUAAAUCUGAACAAUCUAAUAAAACAACGAAACUACGAAUUAUCUUAAGUGCAUGACAUUCCAAAUUAAGAAUAAAAUGGGAACGAAAGAUAUAUGAUAAAUAAAGACAGUAAAGAAAUAAUUCA